RNAcentral lists this ribosomal RNA (497 nucleotides) under uncultured bacterium. RNAcentral describes it as "partial 16S ribosomal RNA". It matches the Rfam family "Bacterial small subunit ribosomal RNA", at positions 28 to 507 of the family's 1533-position model. The record is from RNAcentral.
GACGAACGCUGGCGGCGUGCCUAAUACAUGCAAGUUGAGCGCUGAAGGUUGGUACUUGUACCAACUGGAUGAGCAGCGAACGGGUGAGUAACGCGUGGGGAAUCUGCCUUUGAGCGGGGGACAACAUUUGGAAACGAAUGCUAAUACCGCAUAAAAACUUUAAACACAAGUUUUAAGUUUGAAAGAUGCAAUUGCAUCACUCAAAGAUGAUCCCGCGUUGUAUUAGCUAGUUGGUGAGGUAAAGGCUCACCAAGGCGAUGAUACAUAGCCGACCUGAGAGGGUGAUCGGCCACAUUGGGACUGAGACACGGCCCAAACUCCUACGGGAGGCAGCAGUAGGGAAUCUUCGGCAAUGGACGAAAGUCUGACCGAGCAAAGCCGCGUGAGUGAAGAAGGUUUUCGGAUCGUAAAACUCUGUUGGUAGAGAAGAACGUUGGUGAGAGUGGAAAGCUCAUCAAGUGACGGUAACUACACAGAAAGGGACGGCUAACUACGUG